Cinara cedri is the source of this 305-nucleotide non-coding RNA. The record is from the annotation of a GenBank genome assembly. NCBI's taxonomy places the organism in Eukaryota, Metazoa, Arthropoda, Insecta, Hemiptera, Aphididae.
ACCGUUGACGCUACUUUUUAAAGGUGCCAUAUACGUCCUGCUCCAGCCACCGUAAAAAAUACCAACGAAAGGUUUUCAACUGUAUUCUCGCGUAUUUUAAAUUCUGAAUGAAGCGAGGAAAUUAUUGGUUUUAUAAUGAUGUUUUUUUUUAUAUAUAUACUGUGUACAAAAUGUCUCCUAGAAAUCUUGCUUCAAUCAAAACAUCCCCUUUGUACCUUUUUAUCGAAUUUUGGCUCUAUUUUUAAAAGGUAAUUCUUUGUAAUUCUCAUUAAUAGUCGAAAUAAUUAGGAAAAGCUGUUUUUUUU